Molecule: ribosomal RNA, 652 nt
Filed under: Salmonella enterica
Lineage: Bacteria; Pseudomonadati; Pseudomonadota; Gammaproteobacteria; Enterobacterales; Enterobacteriaceae
Also listed under: 2 other names
Description: partial 16S ribosomal RNA
Rfam family: Bacterial small subunit ribosomal RNA
Source: RNAcentral
UACGGCCGCAAGGUUAAAACUCAAAUGAAUUGACGGGGGCCCGCACAAGCGGUGGAGCAUGUGGUUUAAUUCGAUGCAACGCGAAGAACCUUACCUGGUCUUGACAUCCACGGAAGUUUUCAGAGAUGAGAAUGUGCCUUCGGGAACCGUGAGACAGGUGCUGCAUGGCUGUCGUCAGCUCGUGUUGUGAAAUGUUGGGUUAAGUCCCGCAACGAGCGCAACCCUUAUCCUUUGUUGCCAGCGGUUAGGCCGGGAACUCAAAGGAGACUGCCAGUGAUAAACUGGAGGAAGGUGGGGAUGACGUCAAGUCAUCAUGGCCCUUACGACCAGGGCUACACACGUGCUACAAUGGCGCAUACAAAGAGAAGCGACCUCGCGAGAGCAAGCGGACCUCAUAAAGUGCGUCGUAGUCCGGAUUGGAGUCUGCAACUCGACUCCAUGAAGUCGGAAUCGCUAGUAAUCGUGGAUCAGAAUGCCACGGUGAAUACGUUCCCGGGCCUUGUACACACCGCCCGUCACACCAUGGGAGUGGGUUGCAAAAGAAGUAGGUAGCUUAACCUUCGGGAGGGCGCUUACCACUUUGUGAUUCAUGACUGGGGUGAAGUCGUAACAAGGUAACCGUAGGGGAACCUGCGGUUGGAUCACCUCCUUA